Molecule: long non-coding RNA, 2574 nt
Filed under: Nicotiana tabacum (common tobacco)
Lineage: Eukaryota; Viridiplantae; Streptophyta; Magnoliopsida; Solanales; Solanaceae
Description: long non-coding RNA (NTAB_LNC006638)
Source: RNAcentral
GAUCCCUAAGACCUAACUACACCUUCUAACCGUCACAAAAAACAACACCCCUGAGAUCCUCUUCUUCUUCAACCUAGAACACGAGAGACCUUCAGCCGCCCACCACAAAACCAGCGUCGCCGCCCUUCAAUCUCCACAACCACAAAGCAACGGCCACCCAACCCCAAAAGAGAAUAGCAGCCCGUUAGCAACAACCCGUCUUCUUCACUUCAACUCACCCACUCGCCGGGAAACAAACCAACUGUCACCACUCUGUUUCCAUCUCUGCCAGACCCCAGCAGCAGAAUCGGUGACCUCCCCAUCGGCUCUCUUCUGCUUCAGAUCCAAAGAACACCCAGCUUGCCGGAACCUCUGCUUCUUCUUCUCCUCUUUAUAAAAAAUCGAUUCACCACCUGCCUGCCGCCGGGUUUUCUAGUCGGAAAUCCGGUAACACUUCUCAGAAACAACCGCUAGACUCACCAAACACACAUACGCUGACAGAAGCGAAAAACAGAUUUCAGAUUCAUGGAGUUCAUUUAAGUUCGAUUCAGUUGUUGGUCGAGUCCAGGUUUGUCGGCAAGUUCUGGUUUGUUGGUCUUGGUUGAAAUUUUCAUUCCGGAUUCAGAGUAGAUUCAAUCCCAUUUCUCAAAAUAAAACUAUCAUUAAAGGUCUAAUUCUCUUCCUUCCUUCUUGCAUUUUUAUUCUCAAACUUUGCUGCUGAUUGAUUGAUUUUGCAAUUUAUCUUGUGGCCGGUAUUAUAAUUUGUAUGCUAGUGUGUUCUUGGCAGAAUAGUUGCUAUGCCUUUAAUCACUUAUUCUUCAAUUGAGAACAUAAGAAAUAGAUUGGUUGAGUUGUUGGAUUUAGUUAAAAGUUGAAAUUAAAGAAGACACUGUCUUGAGACGGGAAAGUGAGUUAAGCUUAAGAAUGCUUUUUGAUUAAUUUGUGUUGUUUGAUUUAAUUCCAUUAAUAAGCCGCGGGAUCGAGAUUUAAAGAAAGCAUACUGAAAUUUGAGUAUUACAUAUUCACUACUUCAUUUGAUUUUGACCGCUACUAACAUGUUUUAGGCCGACCACACUUGGCUAGGCAAGCUUUAGGUUUUGGUUAAUUUCGAGGCGAGAGGUCGUUCCCUUAGUUAAAUUUAUCUAGGGAAUGCCCCAAAGGAUUUGUAUAUAUUUUAUUUAGGGGAAUGCCCCGUAGUAUUCUGUAAUUGGAGGCCGUGGCAAACAUCGUAGAAGAAGUGGCGUAGGAUAAUUUAGAACUUUAAUUUUUCUUCUUUUAAUUUUCUUUCAUUUAGGUGGGGACGACCUCGAGCCUCUCUUGAUUGUUUGUUUUCUUUUUGUGCGUUAUUACCUCAAUUCGAGUAUUUUAAAAGCCAACUAGAUUGAGUACACAACCGUAAAUUUCACGGGACUUGGGGAGUGCUUAACGCCUUCUCCCCGAGUCAAAUGAACCCCCUUACUCUAAUCUCUGGUGCAGACCUAGUUUGGAGUCCAAAGUAUUUUAAAAGGAAAAUUAUUUUAAAAACGGUGACCUGGCACACCGAAACCAAUGUCAGGUGGCGACUCUGAGUUAUUUCCUUUUGAACAAAAUUUUGUCACUUUUUAAAUUAAAACCCUUUUGAGCUUUACAAAUCUUUUUAUAUUUUUGAGAGGGUUUAGUGAAGUUUGUAAAAAAAAGGGUGUGACAUUAAUGAUGUACUGGAGUUUUGAAUAUAGAAUAUUUAAAGGUUUCUAGUUGAUCAUGACUAAAAUAGAGUACAUGGAAUGCAAGUUCAGUGAUGCAUCAUAUGAGGCGGGCGUAAAAGUGACGACUGAUACAAGAUUCAUCCAAAGAGAGGAAGUUUCAAGUAACUCAGAUCAAUAAUCCAAGGAAAUGGGGAGACAACCUCUCUACCUCACACAAUGUAGAUGUAAGGUCUGCAUACACCACAUCCUCCCCAGAAUCCAUUUGUUGGAUUACAGUGGGUAUGUUGUUGUUGCUAUUAUUUUAGAUCACAAGUUUUAAAAGUCUUUUUUUUCUUUCUUUAAUUCUGUGCAUGUUCACAUACAUUCAUUCUUUUUAAAAUGGAGGGAGUAAUAAGUUUUACAUAACCGACUAAUAACAGCAAGCUUAAAAGUGACUAUUUUUAAAUUUUUCGCGAACAUGGAUGGUUUGAUUUUGUGGGCUGCUAGUAUUUGUUUACUAAUGGCCAGUACUGUUGUGCUGAGGAGUUCUUGAGCUCUAAGAGGAGGGGCUUUGGAUCCAAUAAAGGUUUGAGUUACCCAUUAACGAGAGGUGUUUGGACCUUUCUUUUCCUUCAUUUGGACAACUGAUUGAUGAAAAUGUCUCUUUUUGGGUUGUUGCUUAGAGUGGAAAUGACACUAGGUAACCGUUUUUAAUUCCGCUCUUUAAAAUAUAUUCAUAGUUUACGAUGUAUUUAAAGAUUAUCCAGUUCGCUUAAACUUAAGGACAUGACGUCUUAAAGUUUAAACCUCAAAAUUCAAAUUUUAGGAUACUUUGUCCUAAAGUUCGAAAAUUUUGUCCAGAACACUUAAUCCUAAAUUUCAAAUUAGCACCUCAAAAAUUCAGGACUCGAAGUCCUGAUUUCAAAUUUAG